RNAcentral lists this ribosomal RNA (587 nucleotides) under Salmonella enterica. Its description in RNAcentral is "partial 23S ribosomal RNA". It matches the Rfam family "Bacterial large subunit ribosomal RNA", at positions 161 to 787 of the family's 2925-position model. Lineage: Bacteria; Pseudomonadati; Pseudomonadota; Gammaproteobacteria; Enterobacterales; Enterobacteriaceae. RNAcentral also lists the same sequence under 1 other name. The record is from RNAcentral.
AAUCCAUAGGUUAAUGAGGCGAACCGGGGGAACUGAAACAUCUAAGUACCCCGAGGAAAAGAAAUCAACCGAGAUUCCCCCAGUAGCGGCGAGCGAACGGGGAGGAGCCCAGAGCCUGAAUCAGCAUGUGUGUUAGUGGAAGCGUCUGGAAAGGCGCGCGAUACAGGGUGACAGCCCCGUACACAAAAGCGCAUGUGCUGUGAGCUCGAUGAGUAGGGCGGGACACGUGGUAUCCUGUCUGAAUAUGGGGGGACCAUCCUCCAAGGCUAAAUACUCCUGACUGACCGAUAGUGAACCAGUACCGUGAGGGAAAGGCGAAAAGAACCCCGGCGAGGGGAGUGAAAAAGAACCUGAAACCGUGUACGUACAAGCAGUGGGAGCACAGGUUUACCUGUGUGACUGCGUACCUUUUGUAUAAUGGGUCAGCGACUUAUAUUCUGUAGCAAGGUUAACCGUAUAGGGGAGCCGAAGGGAAACCGAGUCUUAACCGGGCGUUAAGUUGCAGGGUAUAGACCCGAAACCCGGUGAUCUAGCCAUGGGCAGGUUGAAGGUUGGGUAACACUAACUGGAGGACCGAACCGACUAAU